Schistosoma margrebowiei is the source of this 45-nucleotide non-coding RNA. The record is from Rfam. Lineage: Eukaryota; Metazoa; Platyhelminthes; Trematoda; Strigeidida; Schistosomatidae.
AUCCGGCUGACGUGUCCCAAUUAGGACGAAAAGCGCAUCUUAGAU